CCUACGGGAGGCAGCAGUGGGGAAUAUUGCACAAUGGGGGAAACCCUGAUGCAGCGACGCCGCGUGAGUGAAGAAGUAAUUCGUUAUGUAAAGCUCUAUCAGCAGGGAAGAAAAUGACGGUACCUGAGGAAGAAGCCCCGGCUAACUACGUGCCAGCAGCCGCGGUAAUACGUAGGGGGCAAGCGUUAUCCGGAUUUACUGGGUGUAAAGGGAGCGUAGACGGCAGUGCAAGUCUGGAGUGAAAGGGGGGGGCUCAACCCCCGGACUGCUCUGGAAACUGGACGGCUGGAGUGCAGGAGAGGUAAGUGGAAUUCCUAGUGUAGCGGUGAAAUGCGUAGAUAUUAGGAGGAACACCAGUGGCGAAGGCGGCUUACUGGACUGUAACUGACGUUGAGGCUCGAAAGCGUGGGGAGCAAACAGGAUUAGAUACCCCUGUAGUC
This 440-nucleotide ribosomal RNA is filed under the name uncultured bacterium. RNAcentral describes it as "partial 16S ribosomal RNA". It matches the Rfam family "Bacterial small subunit ribosomal RNA", at positions 338 to 795 of the family's 1533-position model. The record is from RNAcentral.